AAGGAUCAUUAAUGAUUAACUGUCUGUCGAGCUUGCUCACAGACUUAUCAUAUCCAUAACACCUGUGCACUUGUCGGAUGGCUUAGUGAAGACCGCAAGGUUGGAACUAUCCAUCUACUUUACAUAACAAUUUAGUAACAAAUGUAGUCUUAUUAUAACAUAAUAAAACUUUCAACAACGGAUCUCUUGGCUCUCGCAUCGAUGAAGAACGCAGCGAAAUGCGAUAAGUAAUGUGAAUUGCAGAAUUCAGUGAAUCAUCGAAUCUUUGAACGCACCUUGCGCUCCCUGGUAUUCCGGGGAGCAUGCCUGUUUGAGUGUCAUGAAAACCCUCAACCUUAGAUUGGUUAACACCUUUCUUUGGCUUGGAUUUGGACGUUUGCCGAUGAUAAGUCGGCUCGUCUUAAAAGUAAUAGCUGGAUCUGUCUCGCGACAUGGUUUGACUUGGCGUAAUAAGUAUUUCGCUAAGGACAUCUUCGGAUGGCCGCGUUGCAAGACUAAAGACCGCUUUCUAAUCCAUUGAUCUUCGGAUUAAUAUUCUUGACAUCUGGCCUCAAAUCAGGUAGGACUACCCGCUGAACUUAA
RNAcentral lists this ribosomal RNA (582 nucleotides) under Cryptococcus sp. DTO 301-A3. Its description in RNAcentral is "eukaryotic LSU rRNA". The stretch from base 167 to 320 matches the Rfam family "5.8S ribosomal RNA". The record is from RNAcentral. Lineage: Eukaryota; Fungi; Basidiomycota; Tremellomycetes; Tremellales; Cryptococcaceae.